AGGGCGGUGGCUCAAUUGGUAGAGCAGCGGUCUCCAAAACCGCAGGUUGCAGGUUCGAGUCCUGUCCGCCCUG
Non-coding RNA from Microbacteriaceae bacterium BACL25 MAG-120322-bin65, 73 nucleotides. NCBI's taxonomy places the organism in Bacteria, Bacillati, Actinomycetota, Actinomycetes, Micrococcales, Microbacteriaceae. The record is from Rfam.